UUUUAACUCAGUGGUAGAGUAAUCCCAUGGUAAGGCAUAAAUCCUCGGUUCAAAUCCAAUAAGGGGCU
This 68-nucleotide transfer RNA is filed under the name Soliva sessilis. Its description in RNAcentral is "tRNA-Thr". It matches the Rfam family "tRNA". From Rfam's summary of the family: Transfer RNA (tRNA) molecules are approximately 80 nucleotides in length. Their secondary structure includes four short double-helical elements and three loops (D, anti-codon, and T loops). Further hydrogen bonds mediate the characteristic L-shaped molecular structure. tRNAs have two regions of fundamental functional importance: the anti-codon, which is responsible for specific mRNA codon recognition, and the 3' end, to which the tRNAs corresponding amino acid is attached (by aminoacyl-tRNA synthetases). tRNAs cope with the degeneracy of the genetic code in two manners: having more than one tRNA (with a specific anti-codon) for a particular amino acid; and 'wobble' base-pairing, i.e. permitting non-standard base-pairing at the 3rd anti-codon position. Lineage: Eukaryota; Viridiplantae; Streptophyta; Magnoliopsida; Asterales; Asteraceae. The record is from RNAcentral.